CUUUCAGUGUACACGUUACACAGCUAUUCUAUACCAUGAUUGGUCAUAUUUUUCAACUUCUUCAUCUUAUUUUCAAAGGACUCCAUCACCUCAUAGUCGUGAUCGGUUGCUGUUGUGUUAUGGCGCCACGGAGACGCGCAGACUACAUAAAUGUGGACUACAUACAUGUGGACUAGCAUCUCUAGCACGUUGACUAAACCUCAGGCCGCUCUUGACUGCUGAAUUACCGUAUCUACAAACGUUUACAAGUGCUGUCACAGCUGUGUGAAACCUCUUAAGUGUCUAGAACUAGAGCACUAUGCGUCUGCAACUAGUCUUCAUACCAAUAUCGCACUGUAGCUUGUUCCGCACUGCUGUUGCAAACCGCCAUUUUGACAUAUCUUGCCAUAGAAGUAGAGAGACAUGCACGUUGGACUCGUUUUUAGACAUGAAUAGACGUAGUAUUGGUUGGAUCGGUACUCUAGUGUGUACCAUUCAAAUUUGAUUGUACAGUCACACCGUUCUAGCGUUUUGGUCUGCGUAAAAUACUCAAAAAUCAA
Corticium candelabrum is the source of this 539-nucleotide long non-coding RNA. RefSeq lists it as uncharacterized. The transcript has 2 exons. NCBI's taxonomy places the organism in Eukaryota, Metazoa, Porifera, Homoscleromorpha, Homosclerophorida, Plakinidae. The record is from RefSeq and is a predicted model, not a curated record.